RNAcentral lists this non-coding RNA (79 nucleotides) under Chloropicon mariensis. The record is from RNAcentral. Lineage: Eukaryota; Viridiplantae; Chlorophyta; Chloropicophyceae; Chloropicales; Chloropicaceae.
GGAACUUUCGUUCUCGUUCACGUCGUUUUCUGUUUGCGUUUCUAUCAUUUUUUUUUUUUUACUUUUGAAGACUAUCUCU